GACGAACGCUGGCGGCGUGCUUAACACAUGCAAGUCGAACGGAAAGGCCCUGCUUUUGUGGGGUGCUCGAGUGGCGAACGGGUGAGUAACACGUGAGUAACCUGCCCUUGACUUUGGGAUAACGUCAGGAAACUGGGGCUAAUACCGGAUAGGAGCUCCUGCUGCAUGGUGGGGGUUGGAAAGUUUCGGCGGUUGGGGAUGGACUCGCGGCUUAUCAGCUUGUUGGUGGGGUAGUGGCUUACCAAGGCUUUGACGGGUAGCCGGCCUGAGAGGGUGACCGGCCACAUUGGGACUGAGGUCCGGCCCAGACUCCUACGGGAGGCAGCAGUGGGGAAUAUUGCACAAUGGGCGGAAGCCUGAUGCAGCAACGCCGCGUGCGGGAUGACGGCCUUCGGGUUUUAACCCGCUUUCGCCUGUGACGAGGCGUGAGUGACGGUAAUGGGUAAAGAAGCACCGGCUAACUACGUG
This 468-nucleotide ribosomal RNA is filed under the name uncultured bacterium. RNAcentral describes it as "partial 16S ribosomal RNA". It matches the Rfam family "Bacterial small subunit ribosomal RNA", at positions 28 to 507 of the family's 1533-position model. The record is from RNAcentral.